Non-coding RNA from Otolemur garnettii (small-eared galago), 46 nucleotides. The record is from Rfam. NCBI's taxonomy places the organism in Eukaryota, Metazoa, Chordata, Mammalia, Primates, Galagidae.
CCAAAGGCUCUUUUCAGAACCACUCCAAGUUUCUGAAACCUGCUGU